This is an RNA transcript of Cebus imitator (Panamanian white-faced capuchin), 4463 nucleotides long. It is a transcript of the gene named cAMP-dependent protein kinase type II-alpha regulatory subunit-like, with no coding region annotated. The record is from RefSeq and is a predicted model, not a curated record. NCBI's taxonomy places the organism in Eukaryota, Metazoa, Chordata, Mammalia, Primates, Cebidae. The transcript is spliced from 2 exons.
CCUUCACCUCCAGGUCAAAUUUGACAAUCUCUUGGUUACAGAUCCGGACGUGGACAUCUUGGGGAGCCGCCAUGUUGAGGACGGACGCCGGCUACGGGCAGCGGCAGGGCCCAAGUUCAAACGCGUUUUCGCACCACCUUCUUUCCCUCCCCGCCUAGUCUCGGGGCAGCGCCCCCUAGAGACCGGCGAAAAUGGCAUGCGAGGGUCCCUGCUUAGAGUUGGAAAUUUACCCGACACGUGGAGGGAAAUCAGCCUCCCCUCUUAGUAUGACCCUAAUAACACGGAGAGGAGGAGAAGAGGGAAUAUCAAGAACGCUUCACAGUGAUCUCUUUCCAACUUCCUUCUGUCAGGCAUUCUAAUAACUACGUAUUUUUUGCAUAGAAAAAACAAAGAUGGGAAGAAAAGUAUCCAUUGGGAUGUCUCUGGAAAGUACAAGUAACACUUUUUUUGUUUCCUUAAACUUUCUUAUAUUUUUAAUAUUUUCUACAGUGAGUAUAAAUUGUGGAGUAAAAGAGAAAAUGAUAAACGUUAUAUGCUUUUUAAAGUAUGGAGUUCAAGGCAGGUCAGUAGAGUUCCUCCUAUCACUCCAACAGGAUUUGAGGGAUCUUUGUAAAACGUGAAAUUGAUCAAGUCACCUCCCUGUAUGCAGCCUUUCUAUGGCUGCUGAUGAUUCUCUUUUGUAUACCCUCAACAAAUGGUGACUCCUUUAUUUUUGUUAGUAAAUAAUCCAAGUUUCUUAGCUGGUUCUCAAGGCCAUCAGCCACCCCGGCCACCAGCCACCCCAUCCUGCAGGCACCCUUCCUGGAUUCCUCAAGCUUUCUGGAUGUGUAGCCUUAGAAUGUGGUGUUCCCUUUCCCUAGAAUGCUUUUCCCCACUCGACCGCCCUCCAUCUGCUUUUGUUCAUGUCACUUCGGCAAGUAUAGAUUGUGAAGAACUGAAUGCCCAGGAGCUGCAUGUUCAUCUCUCUUAAUCCUCACAACCAUCCUUGAAAUUGUCCUACCCUAGUAUUAUAGAUCAGGAGAUGGGCUGAAAGCAGAUUAAAACAAAAGAAAACAAAACCAACCCUGCCCCAAGAUUACCCACCCUGAAAGUGUCACGGCCUCUACUGAAAGCCAUCUUUUCCCCAAAAAAUCAACAUGGCCCCCACUUGUUGUUAGCGGGGCUCUGUGCUUGGGUGUUCCUACAGCCCUCUCCAUACCCUCUCGUAAGGUGCUCAUCACUCCACCGCACCUAAUAGAGAGGCAGUGUAUCACAGGAUUCACAUCUGCCCUAGCUCAAAUCCUGUCCACGGUAUACUUUGCAUGCCUGUGCCUGUCUCCUCAGAGGCUAACUGGUGGUAAUCAAUAGCACCUUCACAGGCUGGAGGAUUAAGUAAUACAUGAAAAGCACCAAGCACGGUGUGCUAAUGUGGCAUGUGGUAAGAUCUCAAUGCCCGUUAGCUGCUAUUAUUCUACUACUAGCCAACAUUUUGGGAGCCCGUCUUAUGUGCCAGGAGCUGUGUACUAAGUGCUUCACGUGUGUCUCGUUUAACUCUCCCAACUCUGUGAGGUACAAACAGGACAGAGAAGAAUAAUGACUUGCCCAGAGCAAAUGGAGUUGCUAGGUCAAAGGACAUAUGCGUUUUAAAAUUCUUACGUACUGGUGCAUCACAACCAGGGUGCCCGCCCAGCUCGUCCAGCUCGCCUGCCCGUCCGUCCCCGCGGCGGCAGCGGCUGCCCAGUGACAGCGGCGGCGGUGCCAGGCCGGCCGUGGUAGCCUAGGGUUGCACGGCUCGGAAACGCAGAGCCGGCCGAAGAGCGGCGCGAUGAGUGGAAGGCCGAGCCCGGGCCGCGCGCGAAGAGACCUCGCGGGCGGGGAGCAAAAGGCCGACGGGAGUGAGCGCGGGGACAGUGGCUGCAGGCGGCCCAACCCGUCCGUCCCCUCGGCCGCCGCCGGCCUGAGCCACAACCAGAUCCCGCCGGGGCUCACGGAGCUACUGCAGGGCUACACCGCGGAGGUGCUGCGACAGCAGCCGCCCGACCUCGUGGAAUUCGCAGUGGGCCACUUCACCCGCCUGCGCGAGGCCCGCGCCCGUGCCUCAGCCCUGCCCGCCGCCACCCCACGCCAGAGCCCGGGCCACACCGCGCCAGAACCCGGCCCGGACCACGUCCCCGACGCCAACGGGGACAGCGAGGCGGAGGAGGACGAGGACUUGGACGUUCCUAGCACAUUUAAUAGACGAGUAACAGUCUGUGCUGAGACCUAUAACCCUGAUGAGAAAGAGGAAGAUACCGAUCCAAGGGUGAUUUCAUCCUAAAACCGAUGAACAGAGACGCAGACUUACAGGAAACUUGCAAAGAUAUUCUCCCUGUCAAAAAUCUUGAUCAGGAACAGCUUUCUCAAGUUCUUGAUGCCAUGUUUGAAAGGAUAGUCAAAGCUGGUGAGCAUGUCAUUGACCAAGGAGAUGAUGGAGACAACUUUUAUGUCAUAGAAUGGGGAACUUAGGACAUUUUAGUAACAGAAGAUAAUCAAACCCGCUCUGUCGGUCAGUAUGACAACCACGGCAGUUUUGGAGAACUAGCUCUGAUGCACAACACCUCCAGAGCUGCUACCAUUGUUGCAACCUCAGAAGGCUCCCUUUGGGGACUGGACCGGGUGACUUUUAGAAGAAUCAUAGUGAAAAAUAAUGCAAAGAAGAGGAAGACGUUUGAAUCAUUUAUUGAGUCUGUGCCCUUCCUUAAAUCACUGGAUUUGUCAGAACGAAUGAAGAUUGUGAAUGUAAUAGGAGAUAAGAUCUAUAAGGAUGGAGAACGCAUAAUCACUCAGGGUGAAAAGGCUGGUAGCUUUUACAUCAUAGAGUCUGGUGAAGUGAGCAUUUUGAUUAGAAGCAAGACUAAAUCAAACAAGGAUGGUGGAAACCAGGAGGUCCAGAUUGCCCGUUGCUUUAAGGGGCAGUACUUUGGAGAGCUUGCCCUGGUCACCAACAAACCCAGAGCUGCUUCAGCUUACGCAGUUGGAGAUGUCAAAUGCUUAGUUAUGAAUGUACAAGCAUUUGAGAGGCUUCUGGGGCCCUGCAUGGACAUCAUGAAAAGGAACAUCUCACACUAUGAGGAAAAGCUGGUGAAGAUGUUUGGCUCCAGCAUGGAUUUGGGCAACCGCGGGCAGUAGCAUGGGGAAUCAAAGGUGGCAGACCAAGUUCAACUCAGGGCUGAGGUAUCCACAUUGUCCACAUCAGGCAAGCCCUGCACUGAUGGUUGAGCCUCAUGGAGAGGAGCAUGUGUUGGGAAGAGAUCCCUUUGUUAACUAUUUUAUGUUCUCUUCAAUGAGUUAGUGCUCAUACCCCAUUUCUGGCUUUGCUGUUGAUUUUGGAUGGUAGAGAAUAUUCCUGAGACCCUUCCUUUUGGCCCCCAGCAUAUCCCACCCACUCUCUUCUCUUGGUUGAAUUCUCUGAAGAAAAGGUACAUGUGCUUUUGUCCUUUUAGUCAAUAGUCUUCAUAUAUAAUUGUGUUACAUAUAUUGCGGUAGACUGUCAGAAAUCCGGGGAGAGCUUUCCCUUUGAACAGUUUAAUGAGUGAAUUCAGCAGCAAAGUGACAAGAAAUGGUUAUCCAGCUAGGAGAGGUUAUGUUUAUCCUCUAAUUGCCCAUUUUCUCUGUGCACAGUGAUAUUGUAUUCAGUGAGAGGUGCUGUUAGCACCUGUGUCACAGUGUACAACCUUCUCUCAUUUAGAAAAAAGAGCAUUUUACACAGAGAAAAAGUAAGAAGACUCAUGAAUGUCAUCUUCUAUCUUUUCUUUUCAGUUGGCUGAUGUUUGAAUUUUUGUUCUUGUCAUGCACUUGUAAACCAAUCUUGCCAAGAUAUGAGUUGUUUUGGUUUUUCACUGUGAUUACCUCUUGUUCCUCCUGUCUUGACUGCUGGCGUUCCUCAAUUCUUCUAUUGUCUAUUUUAUGGGAAGCAGCCUUCCCAUAGGUUUCCUUUUACACACUGCAGGGCUAUCUUUACACUUAAAAAAAAAAAAAAAAAAAAGGACAAGAACAGUCACUAACCUCAUGGGGGCUUUCAUAAAACCAUUUAGCCCACCUUGAGCAAAGGGUAGAUUCCGUGUUUUUUUUUUUAAGCUCACUGUAAUAAAAGAAAUCUGAUUCAGCAUUAUUGUGCUACCUCAACGGUAAAAAAUGUUUUAAGGUCUUCUUUUGGUCCUAAGUUCUACAUAUAGGGUUUGAAAUGUCUUUCAAUUGGAAUUAUUUUUUAAAUCAUUGGGGUGAAUUUUAUUUUAACCUGUUUUAAACUUGUAUUUUAAUCUCAGAAUAAUAAGUGAUUGAAAAGAGAUCAAUUCUUGCUCUGUAGUGUUAAAAAUAUAAUGAACAGUCAUUAAGUAUUAAGUCUGUUUGCCAUAAAUAAGGUUGAUGUUCUUUUUGUUUUUGUUAAGGAAACUCUAGGGCUUGGCUUUACUCUUGAUUAAUAAAGGCUGACAAAUCAUGUCUGA